UACGGAGGGGGCUAGCGUUAUUCGGAAUUAUUGGGCGUAAAGGGCGCGUAGGCGGCCAUGCGUGUCUUCCGUGAAAUCCCUCGGCUUAACUGAGGACGUGCGGAAGAAACUGCAAGGCUCGAGUCCGGGAGAGGGGGGUGGAAUUCCCAGUGUAGCGGUGAAAUGCGUAGAUAUUGGGAGGAACACCGGUGGCGAAGGCGGCCCCCUGGACCGGUACUGACGCUGAGGCGCGAAAGCGUGGGUAGCAAACGGG
Molecule: ribosomal RNA, 253 nt
Filed under: uncultured bacterium
Lineage: Bacteria
Description: partial 16S ribosomal RNA
Rfam family: Bacterial small subunit ribosomal RNA
Source: RNAcentral